This 465-nucleotide ribosomal RNA is filed under the name Vreelandella stevensii. Its description in RNAcentral is "partial 16S ribosomal RNA". It matches the Rfam family "Bacterial small subunit ribosomal RNA", at positions 338 to 795 of the family's 1533-position model. The record is from RNAcentral. Lineage: Bacteria; Pseudomonadati; Pseudomonadota; Gammaproteobacteria; Oceanospirillales; Halomonadaceae.
CCUACGGGAGGCAGCAGUGGGGAAUAUUGGACAAUGGGCGAAAGCCUGAUCCAGCCAUGCCGCGUGUGUGAAGAAGGCCUUCGGGUUGUAAAGCACUUUCAGUGGGGAAGAAAGCCUUGGGGCUAAUACCCUCGAGGAAGGACAUCACCCACAGAAGAAGCACCGGCUAACUCCGUGCCAGCAGCCGCGGUAAUACGGAGGGUGCGAGCGUUAAUCGGAAUUACUGGGCGUAAAGCGCGCGUAGGCGGUCUGAUAAGCCGGUUGUGAAAGCCCCGGGCUCAACCUGGGAACGGCAUCCGGAACUGUCAGGCUAGAGUGCAGGAGAGGAAGGUAGAAUUCCCGGUGUAGCGGUGAAAUGCGUAGAGAUCGGGAGGAAUACCAGUGGCGAAGGCGGCCCUCUGGACUGACACUGACGCUGAGGUGCGAAAGCGUGGGUAGCAAACAGGAUUAGAUACCCGAGUAGUC